This is an RNA transcript of Musa acuminata AAA Group (dessert banana), 2382 nucleotides long. It is a transcript of the gene named ultraviolet-B receptor UVR8, with no coding region annotated. The transcript is spliced from 5 exons. NCBI's taxonomy places the organism in Eukaryota, Viridiplantae, Streptophyta, Magnoliopsida, Zingiberales, Musaceae. The record is from RefSeq and is a predicted model, not a curated record.
GGAGAACGCGUGCGAGUGGCGUUCGCCGUUGCGGAGCAUGUGGAAAGUAAGCCGUCUUCGCUCUCUCUUCCCCCUUCGCGGCGGGGCGUGGAGGGCCGCCUCGGUCUGGAGCUUCGGGGACAACAGCAAUGGCGCCUUGGGCCUCUCUGCGCCGCUCGCCGACGCCUACGAGCCCACCAGGGUGCCGUCUCUCCCGUCCGACGUCGCCGCCGUCGCCGCGGGUCAUUACCACUCCCUCGCCGUCACCGCUUCCGGGGAAGUCUGGGCGUGGGGUCGCAACGAGGAGGGUCAGAUUGGAAGACACGCCACUGCCCCAAGAGCCACAUGGAAUAAACCAGAAAAGGUGAUAGGCCUGGAUCAUGUGAGGGUUGAAGCUGCUUUUGCAUCUGGUGUUACUUCCGCAGCCAUUGAUGAUGAUGGUUCUUUAUGGGUGUGGGGAAGAUCCAAGCGUGGCCAACUUGGUCUUGGCAACCGAGUGACAGAAGCUACCAAACCUACUAAGGUUCAAGCACUUGCAGAUCAUCAAAUAGUGAAGGUAUCAUUUGGAUGGGGACAUGCAUUGGCGUUAACUAAAGAUGGAAAACUAUUUGGUUGGGGUUAUGCAGCGGAUGGAAGAUUAGGUCAAAUGGAACAAAAGCUAGAUUCACCACAGACACAGCCCUUGGAAUUUGAUAAAUCAUUGGAAAGUUUGAUGCCUAUGCUAGAUGUAGUGGAAAAGCUAGUGGCAGAAAAAAUUGAGAAAGAGAAGAAUAUGCCCAUUAUCUGGGAGCCAUGUGAAGUUCUGGAAGUCAGUUGUCUCAAUGUCUCUGAUAUGGCUUGUGGACUUGACCAUUCAUUAGUGCUCUGCAGCAGUGGCACUGUAUUAAGCAGUGGAGACAAUCUAUAUGGUCAGUUAGGGAGAAACACGUAUGGAUCUAUGCUCCCGGUAGGCUUAAAUGCCCAUGCACUCUCUGUAUCAGCAGGACUUGGUCACUCUCUUGUCCUGUGCCAGAUUCCAUCUGAGGACAGAGAAGAGGUGAACGCUGUGCUCUCAUGGGGAUGGAAUCAGAGCCGCCAGCUUGGGCGCCAAGGGCGAGAAGAUAUGCCUGGGAUAGUUGAAGCUCUUAGUGGAGAAAAGCCAACAUCACUUUCAGCUGGACGUGUGCAUUCAAUUGCUCUUACUUCAAAGAAGGAGCUAUGGGCAUGGGGCUCGGGCAGAAAUGGCCGACUUGGAUUGGGAAGCUCGUUGGAUGAGAUGGAACCAGCACUUGUAGAGUCUUUGGUAGGUUUGGAAGUCUUACAAGCAGUGGCAGGCUUUGAUCAUAGUCUUCUACUGGUUGUUGAUUAGUCCUUGCAGUAAGUAUUCAUUGCUUUAUUCGUCCUGAACUGAUAUCCAGUGUGCUUUUAUCAUGCUCUCUUAGCUGGUAAAAAAGAAAACUAAUUAUAAUGCUGGAAUGACUGCUAAAUAAAUGUGUGCUUUAGAUGUUCUAUCAGACAUUGAAACAAACUGUUUUAUACAUGUCUGGUAAAGAUUUGUUAGAAGUUUAAAGUAAUUUUGCAACAGAAAUGGGAUAGCUCAAAACAAUCUGAAAAAGAAGGGAAAGGAAAAGAUAGUUAUUCUUACAUGUGUCAUAAUAAUCAAGGGAGGAAAAGAUGGAACAAUUUUCCAAACUCAUAAUCUUGAGGCAAUUUUUUUAGAACAGUUUGAUUGGCUUUGCAAUCUCUUCUGCUGUUACAUGUGGAGAAGCUGGCCACCGGGUUGGUUGUUCUCAUCUUUUGAUUCUCGUGUACAUUAUGUAAUUUACUUGGGGCUUCUUUCUUAUGAGGCAGCUUAAAACAUGAUGAAGCAACAACUUAGUAGCUUCAUGCAAGAUUCCAUCAUGUGUGAAUGUGCAUCUAUGGUUGAGGUGAUGACCCGGUGCCUGCUCCCGGUAUAUAAUGGGUGCAGGCAUGGAGCUACAGACUAAAGGGUAAGUAAUGCGUAUCCAGAAUCUUGUCAGCUGCAUAUUCAGUGAUAUGGAGGAGGAAUUAUUUGUCUGUUUUCCAGCAUAUAUCCAGUCAGAUUCAGAAGCCAAGUCAAUACAAUCCUUUUAGCAGCAAUCUCCAGGAGCAAGAUGGAUUGAUCAACCAAUUCCAGAUACAAAAUCAAUAAAUAUGUUUGAGCAUGAAAGAUGCUUGAUGGGGUGACUAAUGCCAGUCCAUGUGAGUUGAAUUGCUUGUUGGUCUUAUUGUAUGAUCCUCCUGUAUUUUGUGCUUGAACAUUUGCACACUGGUUUCGUUUUGAUUUGUUACUUUUAAGGAUUUUUACUGGUUGAUAAACUCUGGCUUAUGUAAUUCUAGAUGUUUGAAAAUGACCAUUUGGUAGACAGAUUUUGGAGUUCAUUGCUUGUUGACUUUGGUGUA